CCAUCUCUCCCUAUAGACAAUCUCGAUUCCUCCUUUUCCUUCCCUCCCAUGGCUUCUUCUUCCACAGACAAAUCUCUUCCCAUGAAUGCUCUUUUGCAUAUGUUAACCAUCAAGUUGUCUUCCUCAAAUUACCUUUUUAUGGUGAAAACAAAUCAAGCCCCUCCUUCAUCAUCAAGAUUGGUUUCGAUUUGUUGAUGGUUCCUUUCCAGCACCAUCGAAAACCAUCACUCAAGAAGACAAAUCUGUCACUAAUCCUGAGUACACAUCAUGGCUUGAAACUGACCAGAGAGUUAUGCUUUUCAUCCAGUCUUCUCUGAGUGAGGGGGCCAUGGCUGAAGUUUUAGGUUAUUCAUCUUCUCAUGAUGUCUGACACGCUCUAGAAUCUGCUUACAGUCAAGAUUCUUUGGAAAGAUCUCAAAACCUCAGAGACUCCUUUUGCCAACUAAAAAAGGGUCCCUUUCUGUUGCCGAAUAUGGGCGCAAGUUUAAGUCCAUUUGUGACAAUCUUGCUGCCAUUAGACAGUCUGUAUCAGAAACCGAGUUAAGUCACUAGUUCCUUUGCGGUUUAAGGUCUGUGUUUGAGACUUUUUCAACUGCACAGAGGGCUAUUUACCCUCUCCCUUCUUUCCGUACUCUUCUUGCACGUGCCGAAGGACAUGAAAUAUUUGUCACCUCACUUCGUGGACCAGAACCUGCUCCCGUAGCUUUCACCACGUAUGACACUUCGUCUCGAUCUUCUUAUCUGGGCCGAGGACGUUCUAGCAGAGAUUGUAACAUAACCGACUCCACACCAGAUUGGUGUGCUGACUCCGGUGCUACCGCUCACGUGGCACCGUAACCAACUCAUGUUGACUCUUCGACUUCUUAUCAUGGUGAUGACAAAGUGGCGUUUGGAAAUGGAUUUGGUCACAAAGACCAUUCUGGCAAAAGGAACCCAAAAGGAUGAACUCUACGUCUUGAAAGCAAAAUCAUAGUUUUUUGACGUGCUCAAAAAUUAUAUGACCUUCGCUCAAACACAAUUCUCAUGCAAAAUUAAAGUAUUUCAAAGCGACGGGGGAACCGAAUUCUUAAAUCAUAGAGUUCGAAAUUUAUUUCUUCAUAAUGGUAUUCAUCAUCGGAUGUCUUGCCCCUAUACAUCUCAACAAAACAGUAGAGCCGAACGCAAACAUCGCCACCUUACCAAAACCAGACUAGCCAUGCUUUUUGGUGCUAACGCCCGCUAGUUUUUGGGUUGAUGCGUUCUCUUCCGCUGCACAUAUCAUAAAUCGUCUACCUACAAAGUUAUUAAAUCACAAAUCUCCAUUUAAAGUGUUGUUUCAUGCGGUGCCAAAUUACACAAACUUCAAAGUUUUCGGGUGUCGAGAUGUGGCACCUGGGGAAAAUCCACAGUUAUCCUGAUUUAACACCAUGCCACUUUGGAUUGCUUAUCAAAUUUCGGGACGAAAUUUCUUUCAAGUUGGGGAUGAUGUGACAACCCGAGAUUCCAAGGUCUUUGUCCUACGAAUCACUUGCUUCGCAACCCUGUUUUGACAAUUUGUUUUAUGUUAUGUCAUGUAUUUAUUUUAUGUGAUCUCAUGUGUAGUUGUUUAGGUGAUUAAAGUUGUUUAAGUGAUCAAUGUAUUCUGAUGAUUCAAUAUGUGAUGAUUAAUA
Helianthus annuus (common sunflower) is the source of this 1649-nucleotide long non-coding RNA. RefSeq lists it as uncharacterized. The transcript is spliced from 3 exons. The record is from RefSeq and is a predicted model, not a curated record. NCBI's taxonomy places the organism in Eukaryota, Viridiplantae, Streptophyta, Magnoliopsida, Asterales, Asteraceae.